CCUACGGGAGGCAGCAGUGGGGAAUAUUGCACAAUGGGGGAAACCCUGAUGCAGCGACGCCGCGUGAGUGAAGAAGUAAUUCGUUAUGUAAAGCUCUAUCAGCAGGGAAGAAAAUGAAGGUACCUGAGUAAGAAGCACCGGCUAACUACGUGCCAGCAGCCGCGGUAAUAAGUAGGGGGCAAGCGUUAUCCGGAUUUACUGGGUGUAAAGGGAGCGUAGACGGCAGUGCAAGUCUGGAGUGAAAGGCGGGGGCUCAACCCCCGGACUGCUCUGGAAACUGUACGGCUGGAGUGCAGGAGAGGUAAGUGGAAUUCCUAGUGUAGCGGUGAAAUGCGUAGAUAUUAGGAGGAACACCAGUGGCGAAGGCGGCUUACUGGACUGUAACCGACGUUGAGGCUCGAAAGCGUGGGGAGCAAACAGGAUUAGAUACCCUAGUAGUC
Molecule: ribosomal RNA, 440 nt
Filed under: uncultured bacterium
Lineage: Bacteria
Description: partial 16S ribosomal RNA
Rfam family: Bacterial small subunit ribosomal RNA
Source: RNAcentral